This 368-nucleotide ribosomal RNA is filed under the name uncultured organism. Its description in RNAcentral is "bacterial LSU rRNA". It matches the Rfam family "Bacterial large subunit ribosomal RNA", at positions 2099 to 2465 of the family's 2925-position model. The record is from RNAcentral.
CUUUACUGUAGCCUGGUAUUGGGUUCGGGCUUUGACUGCGCAGGAUAGGUGGGAGACUGAGAAGUGUGCCUUGUGGGGCACAUAGAGUCAACGGUGAGAUACCACUCUGUCAGAGCUAGAAUUCUAACCCGAUGCCGUGAACCGGCUCGGGAACAGUUUCAGGCGGGCAGUUUGACUGGGGCGGUCGCCUCCUAAAAGGUAACGGAGGCGCGCAAAGGUGUUCUCAGGCUGGUUGGAAAUCAGCCGUAGAGUGUAAAGGCAGAAGAACGCUUGACUGUGAGAGUGACAACUCAAGCAGGGUGGAAACACGGCCUUAGUGAUCCGACGGUAUGCGCGUGGAAGUGCCGUCGCUCAACGGAUAAAAGUUA